UCGGCUAACUCCGUGCCAGCAGCCGCGGUAAUACGGAGGAUUCAAGCGUUAUCCGGAUUUAUUGGGUUUAAAGGGUGCGUAGGCGGUUUGAUAAGUUAGAGGUGAAAUCCCGGGGCUUAACCCCGGAACUGCCUCUAAUACUGUUAGACUAGAGAGUAGUUGCGGUAGGCGGAAUGUAUGGUGUAGCGGUGAAAUGCUUAGAGAUCAUACAGAACACCGAUUGCGAAGGCAGCUUACCAAACUAUAUCUGACGUUGAGGCACGAAAGCGUGGGGAGCAAACAGGAUUAGAUACCCUGGUAGUCCACGCAGUAAACGAUGAUAACUCGUUGUCGGCGAUACACAGUCGGUGACUAAGCGAAAGCGAUAAGUUAUCCACCUGGGGAGUACGUUCGCAAGAAUGAAACUCAAAGGAAUUGACGGGGGCCCGCACAAGCGGAGGAACAUGUGGUUUAAUUCGAUGAUACGCGAGGAACCUUACCCGGGCUUGAAAGUUACUGACGAUUCUGGAAACAGGAUUUCCCUUCGGGGCAGGAAACUAGGUGCUGCAUGGUUGUCGUCAGCUCGUGCCGUGAGGUGUCGGGUUAAGUCCCAUAACGAGCGCAACCCCUACCGUUAGUUGCCAUCAGGUCAAGCUGGGCACUCUGGCGGGACUGCCGGUGAUAAGCCGGAGGAAGGUGGGGAUGACGUCAAAUCAGCACGGCCCUUACGUCCGGGGCUACACACGUGUUACAAUGGUAGGUACAGAGGGUCGCUACUCCGUGAGGGGAUGCCAAUCUCGAAAGCCUAUCUCAGUUCGGAUCGGAGGCUGAAACCCGCCUCCGUGAAGUUGGAUUCGCUAGUAAUCGCGCAUCAGCCAUGGCGCGGUGAAUACGUUCCCGGGCCUUGUACACACCGCCCGUCAAGCCAUGGAAGCUGGGGGUGCCUGAAGUUCGUGACCGCAAGGAGCGACCUAGGGCAAAACCGGUAACUGGGGCUAAGUCGUAACAAGGUAGCCGUACCGGAAGGUGCGGCUG
RNAcentral lists this ribosomal RNA (1014 nucleotides) under human gut metagenome. RNAcentral's name for it is "bacterial SSU rRNA". It matches the Rfam family "Bacterial small subunit ribosomal RNA", at positions 493 to 1520 of the family's 1533-position model. The record is from RNAcentral.